UGGGGAAUCUUGCGCAAUGGGCGAAAGCCUGACGCAGCAACGCCGCGUGGGGGAUGAAGGCUCUCGGGUUGUAAACCCCUUUCAGCAGGGACGAAUCAAGACGGUACCUGCAGAAGAAGCCCCGGCUAACUACGUGCCAGCAGCCGCGGUAACACGUAGGGGGCAAGCGUUGUCCGGAUUUAUUGGGCGUAAAGAGCUCGUAGGUGGCUAAGUAAGUCGGGUGUUAAAUCCCCAGGCUCAACCUGGGACACCAUCUGAUACUGCUUUGGCUAGAGUCCGGUAGGGGAGCGUGGAAUUCCUGGUGUAGCGGUGAAAUGCGCAGAUAUCAGGAGGAACACCAGCGGCGAAGGCGGCGCUCUGGGCCGGUACUGACACUGAGGAGCGAAAGCGUGGGUAGCAAACA
Molecule: ribosomal RNA, 403 nt
Filed under: uncultured Aquihabitans sp.
Lineage: Bacteria; Bacillati; Actinomycetota; Acidimicrobiia; Acidimicrobiales; Iamiaceae
Description: bacterial SSU rRNA
Rfam family: Bacterial small subunit ribosomal RNA
Source: RNAcentral